AUGGUCUUAUUGAUAAAAGCUACUGGUUUGCAGCAAUUACUAAGAGUAAAGAUGAUGCAAAGAGCCUGUUCCCCAAACUGUGUGACGUUGAGGAGUCCAGCCUGGCAGGUGGUGAUGUGUCUUGCACUACCUCGCAUGACAACAGCUAAGGAGACCAACCAUUCUCUUCAUUGUACAGCUUUACAAUAUACAACAUGAAUUUUCUCAGCGUGAAUACGUGACAUAUUAGUCCAGUCAAAGAUAUUAUCAUCCUCAUCAUCAACAGAUAAUUUUCCAUUUUUUUUUGUGGGGGAGAUGGCUUUCAAGAUGUUUAUUCUUUUGUAAUUGACUAAAUUCUAUGAUAAAAGGAGCAAGAUGACAUCGUGGUCACCUGGAGUCACUUUGCUUAGUCUCAGCAGAGUGUGAAGACAGUCCGACACACUGUUGUAACGGAAAUGCUUUGAAGAUUAUGAUUAAUAGAUGUGACUGAUGGGAGGUACAGGAGGAAUGUCUUUGGGCAAUAAAGAUGCUCAUAAAAUA
Tupaia belangeri chinensis (Chinese tree shrew) is the source of this 519-nucleotide long non-coding RNA. RefSeq lists it as uncharacterized. The transcript has 3 exons. The record is from RefSeq and is a predicted model, not a curated record. Lineage: Eukaryota; Metazoa; Chordata; Mammalia; Scandentia; Tupaiidae.